UAAGCGUGUGAUGAAAUUUUAGGGCUCAACCCUGGGACUGUUAUGCGAACUGCGAAGCUAGAGUAUAUGAGGGGUAGCUGGAAUUCAUAGUGUAGGAGUGAAAUCCGUAGAUAUUAUGAGGAACACCAAUGGCGUAGGCAGGCUACUGGCAUAUUACUGACACUGAGGCACGAAGCGUGGGAGCGAACGGGAUUAGACUACCCCGGUAGUCCACGCCGUAAACGAUGGAUGCUA
Molecule: ribosomal RNA, 234 nt
Filed under: uncultured Candidatus Saccharibacteria bacterium
Lineage: Bacteria; Candidatus Saccharimonadota
Description: partial 16S ribosomal RNA
Rfam family: Bacterial small subunit ribosomal RNA
Source: RNAcentral